This 451-nucleotide ribosomal RNA is filed under the name uncultured bacterium. RNAcentral's name for it is "partial 16S ribosomal RNA". It matches the Rfam family "Bacterial small subunit ribosomal RNA", at positions 29 to 523 of the family's 1533-position model. The record is from RNAcentral.
AGCGAACGCUGGCGGCAGGCUUAACACAUGCAAGUCGAACGCCCGUAGCAAUACGGGAGUGGCAGACGGGUGAGUAACGCGUGGGAACAUGCCCUUUGGUUCGGAAUAACUCAGGGAAACUUGAGCUAAUACCGGAUAAGCCCGAGAGGGGAAAGAUUUAUCGCCGAAGGAUUGGCCCACGUCCGAUUAGCUGGUUGGUGAGGUAAUGGCUCACCAAGGCGACGAUCGGUAGCUGGUCUGAGAGGAUGAUACGCCACACUGGGACUGAGACACGGCCCAGACUCCUCCGGGAGGCAGCAGUGGGGAAUAUUGGACAAUGGGGGCAACCCUGAUCCAGCCAUGCCGCGUGAGUGAUGAAGGCCCUAGGGUUGUAAAGCUCUUUCGGCGGGGACCAUAAUAACGGUACCCGCAGAAGAAGCCCCGGCUAACUUCGUGCCAGCCGCCGCAGUAA